Molecule: ribosomal RNA, 279 nt
Filed under: uncultured bacterium
Lineage: Bacteria
Description: partial 16S ribosomal RNA
Rfam family: Bacterial small subunit ribosomal RNA
Source: RNAcentral
UGCCAGCAGCCGCGGUAAUACGGAGGGGGUUAGCGUUGUUCGGAAUUACUGGGCGUAAAGCGCACGUAGGCGGACCAUUAAGUUGGGGGUGAAAUCCCGGGGCUCAACCCCGGAACUGCCUCCAAAACUGCUGGUCUAGAGUUCGAGAGAGGUGAGUGGAAUUCCGAGUGUAGAGGUGAAAUUCGUAGAUAUUCGGAGGAACACCAGUGGCGAAGGCGGCUCACUGGCUCGAUACUGACGCUGAGGUGCGAAAGUGUGGGGAGCAAACAGGAUUAGAUA